This 473-nucleotide ribosomal RNA is filed under the name Rahnella sp. R-46079. Its description in RNAcentral is "bacterial SSU rRNA". It matches the Rfam family "Bacterial small subunit ribosomal RNA", at positions 21 to 485 of the family's 1533-position model. The record is from RNAcentral. Lineage: Bacteria; Pseudomonadati; Pseudomonadota; Gammaproteobacteria; Enterobacterales; Yersiniaceae.
GGCUCAGAUUGAACGCUGGCGGCAGGCCUAACACAUGCAAGUCGAGCGGCAGCGGAAAGUAGCUUGCUACUUUGCCGGCGAGCGGCGGACGGGUGAGUAAUGUCUGGGAAACUGCCUGAUGGAGGGGGAUAACUACUGGAAACGGUAGCUAAUACCGCAUGACCUCGAAAGAGCAAAGUGGGGGAUCUUCGGACCUCACGCCAUCGGAUGUGCCCAGAUGGGAUUAGCUAGUAGGUGAGGUAAUGGCUCACCUAGGCGACGAUCCCUAGCUGGUCUGAGAGGAUGACCAGCCACACUGGAACUGAGACACGGUCCAGACUCCUACGGGAGGCAGCAGUGGGGAAUAUUGCACAAUGGGCGCAAGCCUGAUGCAGCCAUGCCGCGUGUGUGAAGAAGGCCUUAGGGUUGUAAAGCACUUUCAGCGAGGAGGAAGGCAUCAYACUUAAUACGUGUGGUGAUGACGUACUCGCAGA